GAAACACAACAUGCUUCCCUUACAAACAGAGAAACACACAAUGCAUCCAUUACACACACACACACACACACACACACCCAAUGCAGCCCUUACACACAAAGACAAUGCAUCCUUUGCACACAUACACAGAAACACACAAUACAUCCCUUAUACACAAACACACACUGCUGCCACUACAUAUAGACACACUGCAACACCUACACAAACUGGUAUCUCUAUACACUACAUACCAUAAGAACACAUAUUAGAUCCCCUACAAUAACACAUCCCCUACACAUUGAAUUUUGUGACCGCAGUUGCAAACAGCCUCCAGAGAUCCUGUUCUACACCAGACCAGAGAAGCCAAACUGCAGCCCAUCAC
Molecule: non-coding RNA, 361 nt
Organism: Pelobates cultripes (western spadefoot toad)
Lineage: Eukaryota; Metazoa; Chordata; Amphibia; Anura; Pelobatidae
Source: the annotation of a GenBank genome assembly